UAGUUGGAUUCGUUAACCACUGGGCCACGACGGGAACUCCUGAAUUUAUUUUAAUGAUUGGGAUACAUACACACACAAACACACACACACGUACACACAUAUAUGUAUAUAUGUUUGUGUAUAGAUAUUUUAAAUUAUUAUAUUAAGUAUUCAUCUAUAUAUUACAUAUAAAAAAUUAUUUUUCUAUCUGUAUAAGCUGUGAAGAAUGAACAUAGGGAGUUUCAAAUUAAGACGAGAAGUCCUAGAAAUUUGACAACUCUGUUGUAUGGGAAGGAAUGAUAAGUUCUUACACAGUUAACAAGUAGCAAAAUCAUACAGCCUGUCUGUGAAUAAUUAAUUAGGGAAAUUUUUCAAAAAAGACAGCUAACUACAUAGACUCAAUCUCUCACUUUCUAGGAGAUGAAACAUCUAGAUGGCCCUGCUAACUACAGUAUUAUGUUAAUAAGAGAUGCAUCAACUUUUAAAUAAUUCCAGCAAAUCAGUUAUUUUCAACCAACUGCAAACAAGAGAGAUGAGUCAUCAUCUGGAGCACAUGGAUUAUGGGAGGAUUCCAAAUACCCUUCCCCAGUGCAUAUUCAAAACAUCCCAAGUUUAAAACUGGAAAUGCUGAUUGCUUCAGAGCCACUUAAAGUCAUUCCUUAGAAACAUCAUGCUCUUGCCAUUUUGUGAAAAUAUGUCCAAGAAAUGAAAUGAGUCUGAGCAUUCCUGGAUAUACACUAUAAUUUCUACUAUUUUAAGCUAAACAACAUCAGUUCAAUAGGAUGCAGGGUAAAUGCAAACCUAAAGGAGGUAUGGUUGAGAGAAAUCAUUCUAUAUAUUAUUAGGCAAUAUCCAUAGAAUGUUUUUUUAUAAUUAAAUUCACAUGUAUAAUAUUUUUUUAAUAUUUAAAAUUUUUAACUAUUUUUAUUAUAUUUGAUUUACAGUGUUCUGUCAAUUUCUGCUGUAAAGCAAAGUGACCUAGUUAUACAUAGAUAUGCAUACUUUUUCUUAAAUUAUCCUCCAUCAUGUUCCAUCACAAAUGAUUGGAUAUAGUUCCCUAUGCUAUAGAGCAGGGUCUUAUUGCUUAUCCUCUUCAGUGCAAUAGUUUGUGACUACUAACCCCCAAAUCCCAGUCCAUCCCACUCCCUCCCCAUCACCCUUGGCAACCACAAGUAUGUUCUCCAUGUCUAUGAGUUUGUUUCUUUUCUGUGGAAAGGUUCAUUUGUGCCAUAUAUUAGAUUCUAGAUAUAAAUGAUAUAUGGUAUUUGUCUUUCUCUUUCUGAUUUACUUCACUUAGUAUGAGAGUCUCUAGUUGCAUCCGUGUUGCUGCAAAUGGCAUUAUUUUGUUCUUUUAUGGCUGAAUAGUAUUCCAUUGUGUAUAUAUAUAUACACCACAUCUUCUUGUCAAUGGUCAUUUGGGUUGUUUCCAUGUCUUGGCUAUUGUGAAUAGUACUGCAGUGAACAUACAGGUACAUGUCUUUUUCAAUUAAACUUUUUUCUGGAUAUAUACCCAGGAGUGGGAUUGCUGGGUUGUAUGGUAGUUCUAUAUUUAUUUCCUGAGAUACUUCCAUACAUUUUUCCAUAGAGGUUGUAGCAAUUUACAUGCCCACCAACAU
RNAcentral lists this long non-coding RNA (1595 nucleotides) under Sus scrofa (pig). Its description in RNAcentral is "lncRNA (ENSSSCG00065006828.1)". Lineage: Eukaryota; Metazoa; Chordata; Mammalia; Artiodactyla; Suidae. The record is from RNAcentral.